This 75-nucleotide transfer RNA is filed under the name Symplocastrum torsivum CPER-KK1. RNAcentral describes it as "tRNA-Trp". It matches the Rfam family "tRNA". From Rfam's summary of the family: Transfer RNA (tRNA) molecules are approximately 80 nucleotides in length. Their secondary structure includes four short double-helical elements and three loops (D, anti-codon, and T loops). Lineage: Bacteria; Bacillati; Cyanobacteriota; Cyanophyceae; Oscillatoriales; Microcoleaceae. The record is from RNAcentral. RNAcentral also lists the same sequence under 3 other names.
GUGGGGAUGGUGUAACUGGCAACAUUUCGGUCUCCAAAACCGACGUUCUGAGUUCAAAUCUCAGUCCCCGCGCCA